AGAGUUUGAUCAUGGCUCACAACGUACGCUGGCGGCACGCCUAACACAUGCAAGUCGAACGAAGUAGCAAUACUUAGUGGCAGACGGGUGAGUAACAUGUAGGUAUCUACCCUUUGGCCUGGAAUAACACGAGGAAACUUGUGCUAAUACCGGAUAAGUCUUUACGGAGAAAGCUUUAUGCACCAAUGGAUGAGCCUGCACUUGAUUAGUUUGUUGGUAGGGUAAUGGCCUACCAAGACUGUGAUCAAUAGCUGAUUUGAGAGGAUGAUCAGCCACAUUGGGACUGAGACACGGCCCAAACUCCUACGGGAGGCAGCAGUGGGGAAUCUUGCACAAUGGAGGAAACUCUGAUGCAGCGAUGCCGCGUGAGUGAAGAAGGCCCUUGGGUUGUAAAGCUCUUUCGUCGGGGAAGAAAAUGACUGUACCCGAAUAAGAAGGUCCGGCUAACUUCGUGCCAGCAGCCGCGGUAAUACGAAGGGACCUAGCGUAGUUCGGAAUUACUGGGCUUAAAGAGUUCGUAGGUGGUUGAAAUAGUUGGUGGUGAAAUCCCAGAGCUUAACUCUGGAACUGCCAUCAAAACUUUUCAGCUAGAGUUUGAUAGAGGAAAGCAGAAUUUCUAGUGUAGAGGUGAAAUUCGUAGAUAUUAGAAAGAAUACCAAUUGCGAAGGCAGCUUUCUGGAUCAUUACUGACACUGAGGAACGAAAGCAUGGGUAGCGAAGAGGAUUAGAUACCCUCGUAGUCCAUGCCGUAAACGAUGUGUGUUAGACGUUGGAAAUUUAUUUUCAGUGUCGCAGCGAAAGCGAUAAACACACCGCCUGGGGAGUACGACCGCAAGGUUAAAACUCAAAUGAAUUGACGGGGACCCGCACAAGUAGUGGAGCAUGUGGUUUAAUUCGAAGAUACGCGCAGAACCUUACCAACACUUGACAUGUUCGUCGCGACUUUAAGAGAUUAAAGUUUUCGGUUCGGCCGGACGAAACACAGGUGCUGCAUGGCUGUCGUCAGCUCGUGUCGUGAGAUGUUGGGUUAAGUCCCGCAACGAGCGCAACCCUCACUUUUAGUUGCCAUCAUUUAGUUGGGCACUCUGAAAGAACUGCCAGUGAUAAGCUGGAGGAAGGUGGGGAUGACGUCAAGUCCUCAUGGCCCUUACGUGUUGGGCUACACACGUGCUACAAUGGUAUUUACAACAGGAAGCAAGACGGCGACGUUAAGCAAAUCCUUAAAAAAUACCUCAGUUCGGAUUGCACUCUGCAACUCGAGUGCAUGAAGCUGGAAUUACUAGUAAUCGUGGAUCAGCGUGCCACGGUGAAUGCGUUCCC
This 1320-nucleotide ribosomal RNA is filed under the name unidentified marine bacterioplankton. RNAcentral's name for it is "bacterial SSU rRNA". It matches the Rfam family "Bacterial small subunit ribosomal RNA", at positions 8 to 1375 of the family's 1533-position model. RNAcentral also lists the same sequence under 1 other name. The record is from RNAcentral.